Molecule: transfer RNA, 76 nt
Filed under: Chloroflexota bacterium
Lineage: Bacteria; Bacillati; Chloroflexota
Description: tRNA-Gly
Rfam family: tRNA
About the family: Transfer RNA (tRNA) molecules are approximately 80 nucleotides in length. Their secondary structure includes four short double-helical elements and three loops (D, anti-codon, and T loops).
Source: RNAcentral
GCGGGGGUAGCUCAGUUGGCAGAGCGCUAGCCUUCCAAGCUGGAUGUCGCGGGUUCGAGCCCCGUCCCCCGCUCCA